Molecule: unclassified non-coding RNA, 435 nt
Filed under: Microcystis sp. KLL-C019
Lineage: Bacteria; Bacillati; Cyanobacteriota; Cyanophyceae; Chroococcales; Microcystaceae
Description: 16S-23S ribosomal RNA intergenic spacer
Rfam family: tRNA (bases 187-260)
Source: RNAcentral
GAAGUCGUAACAAGGUAGCCGUACCGGAAGGUGUGGCUGGAUCACCUCCUUAAAGGGAGACCUAAUUCCGGUAGGAGACGAAAAAAAAGUAGUCCCUACCAAGAAUCAAUCCCAAAAGGUCGGAGCGAGGCAAAAUUGGCUUUCAAACUAGGUUCUGGGUUCACACAAGACCUGAAUCAGGAACAAGGGCUAUUAGCUCAGGUGGUUAGAGCGCACCCCUGAUAAGGGUGAGGUCCCUGGUUCGAGUCCAGGAUGGCCCACCUGCACAGGUGGAAGAAAGAAAAAAGCUCCGAAUCAGCGCCUUAUCUUACUUAUAUAGUAAGAGAGAAUGCUGGCUCUGAGUACAGAGUCCAGAGGAACCUUGAAAACUGCAUAGAGCUAGGUGAAAAAGCCAAAAAAGAAGACCGCAAGGUCAAGCUAAUAAGGGCUAACGGU